Molecule: long non-coding RNA, 1902 nt
Organism: Equus caballus (horse)
Lineage: Eukaryota; Metazoa; Chordata; Mammalia; Perissodactyla; Equidae
Source: Ensembl
GAAUAAAAGAAAAAAGAAAAAAACAUAUACUUAUUUCAAUCAAGGUAGGAAUAAUUCUAAAAUUCAAGUCCUAUUUAUGAUUUUUUGAGACGUAAUAACAUUAUAUAGUUUUAGUUCUACAAAAUAAUUAUUUAAUAUACAGAUGCAUUUAUGAUUUUGUUAAAAAGCCUGUUUGCAACGUGUUGUGGAAGGGGACUUUCUUAGCUGGAUAGAUAAUAUAAGCUAUGAAACUACUAAUAGCAUAACAAAUGGGGGAAGAUUUAGAUGCAGAAUUUUAGGAUCAGGAAGAAGACAAGCCUACUCACUGUCUCUGCUGCCCUUUCCAGUGGAACUGACAGUCAUGAGUGGUGCUAUGAUGGGAGAAGAGAAAGAAGGUGUAUCAGGACUGGAAGGGAAGGACGCGAUCACCCACCAGGAAAAGAUCGAAGAGUCAGCACAUGACACGUUACAACAACAGGAGAACACAGUGCUGCAGGAGGCAAAUCAAUUCACAAGACUCAGACUUCCUCAUGGUAUUACACCAGGAAGAAUCAUUGAACAGGUAGGAUUUAAGCAAACAGUAGGAUAGCAUAUCCAAUAGUGACACAAACUGUGAAGAAACAGCUCUCAAGCAUUUUGGUCUCAGGAUCCCUUCACACUCAAAGGUAUUGAGGCCACGAAAGGGCUUUUGUUAGGGUGAAUUAUAAUUAUCAACUUUUACUGUAUUGGAAAUUAAAACUGAGAAUCUUUAAAAAUAUUCAGUAUAUUUAAAAGAACAAUAAUAAGCCUAUUUCAUGUUAAUAUGAGUAAUAUAUUUUUAGGAAAUAAUCACAGUUCUCAAAAAACAAGUAGUGCGAAGAGGGGCCUGGUUUUGCAUUUUUAAAGAUACGUCCAACGUCUGCCUUGAGGGGAGACAACCUGGCACUCGCAUCUGCUUCUUCAUUCGGUCCGUGACAAUAUGGUCUCUCAGUUGAAGCAUUUGCGAAAUACAUCCUCACAUGUAACUAGAAGGGUGAGGACCUGAUGGACCACAGGGUUCCUCAUAUCACACUUGGAAAACCUCUGUUAUAAAAUAUCUAGGAAUUAACCCAAAACAUACAACACCUCCAAAGUCAGAACUGUAACCACUAACAAAAAUGCAGGUGAUCUGAAUACAUGGAAAAUCGCCCACACUCUUGGACAGGAUGAGCUAAUAAUGGUUAUGAUGUCAUUUCUUCCUCAAAUUAUACCAUCAGUGCAAUUGCACUCACAAUCCCCAUUAUUGGACUAUAAAUUUAAUACUACCGUACAUUUCCUUCUGACAAAUAAAUGUCGAUGGAAAACUAUACUGAUCUUAUAAAAAUGGAAUAAAUGGAGAGAUAAGCUCUCCCAGGUGUUGAGUCACGUUAUAGAGCAAUGGUCGUUUUCAACAGCGUGAACCUGGAACAGACACAGAUGCUGAUUAAAUUGACUGGAAAGCUCAGGAAAUAUCCCUGCAUUAUCAAAACCUAAUAUAUGAUGAAGGUGGCAGCGGAAAUCAAAGGGAAAAGAUGGAUUUGUGGUGCAAAAAAUGUCCAUUUUAUGAAGCAAAGUAAAUCAGAAUUUCUGCUUAAGACCACAUUCAAAGAUGGAAUCCAGGUGGAUCAAGACAUAAAUAUGAAAGAUAAAGUAUAAGGUUAGUAGGAGAAAGUGUAAGGAAAUAACUUUGUGCUCUAGGAGCGGAGAAGGAUUUCUAAAACAAAAUUUCAAAAGCAGCAAUGACAAGGUGAUUUGAAAGACAUGAAAAUGUCUGCGUGAAGUAUUUUUGUUUGGUGGAGCAUAUCCUGGAUAAAGUUAACAGGCAGCUAGAAAAUUGGGAAAAGAUCAUUUGCAAUGUCUAAAACUGUGAAGGGAAUACUGUCAAGAAGAAUAAACAAGAAAGCAUAGGAAGCUCAUCCCUGUAUG